Molecule: microRNA precursor, 71 nt
Filed under: Danio rerio (zebrafish)
Lineage: Eukaryota; Metazoa; Chordata; Actinopteri; Cypriniformes; Danionidae
Description: mir-24 microRNA precursor family
Rfam family: mir-24 microRNA precursor family
About the family: This family represents the microRNA (miRNA) mir-24 family. miRNAs are transcribed as ~70nt precursors (modelled here) and subsequently processed by the Dicer enzyme to give a ~22nt product. In this case the mature sequence comes from the 3' arm of the precursor. The extents of the hairpin precursors are not generally known and are estimated based on hairpin prediction.
Source: Rfam by way of RNAcentral
GUCUCCUGUGCCUGCUGUGCUGAUAAUCAGUGGACGGCUGUGACUGGCUCAGUUCAGCAGGAACAGGGGCC